This 406-nucleotide ribosomal RNA is filed under the name Priestia megaterium. RNAcentral describes it as "bacterial SSU rRNA". It matches the Rfam family "Bacterial small subunit ribosomal RNA", at positions 46 to 445 of the family's 1533-position model. The record is from RNAcentral. Lineage: Bacteria; Bacillati; Bacillota; Bacilli; Caryophanales; Bacillaceae.
GCUAUCAUGCAGUCGAGCGACUGAUUAGAAGCUUGCUUCUAUGACGUUAGCGGCGGACGGGUGAGUAACACGUGGGCAACCUGCCUGUAAGACUGGGAUAACUUCGGGAAACCGAAGCUAAUACCGGAUAGGAUCUUCUCCUUCAUGGGAGAUGAUUGAAAGAUGGUUUCGGCUAUCACUUACAGAUGGGCCCGCGGUGCAUUAGCUAGUUGGUGAGGUAACGGCUCACCAAGGCAACGAUGCAUAGCCGACCUGAGAGGGUGAUCGGCCACACUGGGACUGAGACACGGCCCAGACUCCUACGGGAGGCAGCAGUAGGGAAUCUUCCGCAAUGGACGAAAGUCUGACGGAGCAACGCCGCGUGAGUGAUGAAGGCUUUCGGGUCGUAAAACUCUGUUGUUAGGGA